CCCUAUGGGGUGCAGCAGUCGGGAAACUUCUACAAUGCACGCAAGUGUGAUAGAGCAAGCCAGAGUGCGAUUCUAUAAUUGAAUCGCUUUUAUGUAAUGUAAAAAGUUACAUGAAUAAGGACUGGGUAAGACUGGUGCCAGCCGCCGCGGUAAUACCAGCGGUUCAAGUGGCAGCCGCGUUUAUUGGGUCUAAAACAUCCGUAGCUUGCUUGGUCAGUCUCUUGUGAAAUCUGGCGUCUUAAGUGUCAGGCGUGCAAGAGAUACUGCCAAGCUAGAGACCGGGAGAUGUAAGGAGUACGCAUCGGGUAGCGGUAAAAUGCGUUGAUCCAAUGUGGACUAACGAUAGCGAAGGCACCUUACGAGAACGGAUCUGACAGUGAGGGAUGAAGGCUAGGGGCGCAAAACGGAUUAGAUACCCGUGUAGUCCUAGCAGUAAACACUGCACACUAAACAUCGGUACCUCUUCGAGAGGUAUCGGUGCUGCAGGGAAGCCGUAGAGUGUGCUACCUGGGAAGUAUAGGCGCAAGCCCGAAACUUAAAGGAAUAGGCGGCGGGAUACUACAACCAGUGACGCGUGCGGUUCAAUUAGAUUAUACACCGUGAACCUCACCAGGAUCGACAGCAGAAUGAAGGUCAGUCUGAAGGGCUUACCUGACACGCUGAGAGGAGGUGCAUGGCC
Molecule: ribosomal RNA, 679 nt
Filed under: uncultured archaeon
Lineage: Archaea
Description: bacterial SSU rRNA
Rfam family: Archaeal small subunit ribosomal RNA
Source: RNAcentral